UUGAACGCUGGCGGCAUGCUUUACACAUGCAAGUCGAACGGUAACAGGGAGCUUGCUCCGCUGACGAGUGGCGAACGGGUGAGUAAUGCAUCGGAACGUGCCUAUUUGUGGGGGAUAACGUAGCGAAAGUUACGCUAAUACCGCAUACGCCCUGAGGGGGAAAGCGGGGGAUCGCAAGACCUCGCGCGAUAGGAGCGGCCGAUAUCGGAUUAGCUAGUUGGUGAGGUAAAGGCUCACCAAGGCGACGAUCCGUAGCUGGUCUGAGAGGACGACCAGCCACACUGGAACUGAGACACGGUCCAGACUCCUACGGGAGGCAGCAGUGGGGAAUUUUGGACAAUGGGGGAAACCCUGAUCCAGCCAUUCCGCGUGAGUGAAGAAGGCCUUCGGGUUGUAAAGCUCUUUCGGCAGGAACGAAACGGUAAGGGCUAAUAUCCUUUGCUAAUGACGGUACCUGAAGAAGAAGCACCGGCUAACUACGU
RNAcentral lists this ribosomal RNA (482 nucleotides) under uncultured bacterium. RNAcentral's name for it is "bacterial SSU rRNA". It matches the Rfam family "Bacterial small subunit ribosomal RNA", at positions 30 to 506 of the family's 1533-position model. The record is from RNAcentral.